AUCAGGUUUGCAUGUCAGGAAGAUUGCUUUGGCCACAGUGCAGAGGGUGCGUUGGACAGAGAAGGAAAGUGGGAGGGGUCUCACUGAGACCCUUCUGGAGAUCCACGGGUUCACAUCUUCUUUACUUUCCUCAACAGCCCCUCCAGGUGCCUGUGCAAGAUGUGGGAACUGCAGCACAGGGAGGGAGGAACGGCUACAGUUCGCCGGCCACAGGCCAGUGCAUGCGUGCUCAGUGGCCUCCAGCCGUGGCCACAUCCCAGGAAGAGGCAAUGCGAGUCUGAUCUAAGGCAGGAAGAGGCGCGGCAAGGCGGAGAGGACAGACUCCAGAUGGGCUUAAAACCAGAUUCCUAUCCUCAGGUCGAGUGGUCACCUAACCACCGGAACACCUGGCGGAGAUGCAAACACACGGGACCGCCCGAGCAUCACUUCGGAGAAGGACAGAUGGGAUCCUUAGUCUUCCAUCAGUGAUAGCUAUACUUGGAGCUGCUUUCCGGGCACGACAUGGGCGCUCUAAUCCGUCCAUUCCACACCCCAGGCUCCUCGUGGUCCUCGAUAGGUGCAAUGAUUGUAUUCUGAGACUCCGUUCACUCACGUACUCCAGGCUUGAGUCUCC
This 613-nucleotide long non-coding RNA is filed under the name Ursus maritimus (polar bear). RNAcentral's name for it is "lncRNA (ENSUMAG00000016739.1)". The record is from RNAcentral. Lineage: Eukaryota; Metazoa; Chordata; Mammalia; Carnivora; Ursidae.